UGGUCGAGUCGGCCUGCGCGGAAGAUGUAACGGGGCUAAACCAUGCACCGAAGCUGCGGCAGCGACGCUGAUGCGUUGUUGGGUAGGGGAGCGUUCUGUAAGCCUGCGAAGGUGUGCUGUGAGGCAUGCUGGAGGUAUCAGAAGUGCGAAUGCUGACAUAAGUAACGAUAAAGCGGGUGAAAAGCCCGCUCGCCGGAAGACCAAGGGUUCCUGUCCAACGUUAAUCGGGGCAGGGUGAGUCGACCCCUAAGGCGAGGCCGAAAGGCGUAGUCGAUGGGAAACAGGUUAAUAUUCCUGUACUUGGUGUUACUGCGAAGGGGGGACGGAGAAGGCUAUGUUGGCCGGGCGACGGUUGUCCCGGUUUAAGCGUGUAGGCUGGUUUUCCAGGCAAAUCCGGAAAAUCAAGGCUGAGGCGUGAUGACGAGGCACUACGGUGCUGAAGCAACAAAUGCCCUGCUUCCAGGAAAAGCCUCUAAGCAUCAGGUAACAUCAAAUCGUACCCCAAACCGACACAGGUGGUCAGGUAGAGAAUACCAAGGCGCUUGAGAGAACUCGGGUGAAGGAACUAGGCAAAAUGGUGCCGUAACUUCGGGAGAAGGCACGCUGAUAUGUAGGUGAAGUCCCUCGCGGAUGGAGCUGAAAUCAGUCGAAGAUACCAGCUGGCUGCAACUGUUUAUUAAAAACACAGCACUGUGCAAACACGAAAGUGGACGUAUACGGUGUGACGCCUGCCCGGUGCCGGAAGGUUAAUUGAUGGGGUCAGCGCAAGCGAAGCUCUUGAUCGAAGCCCCGGUAAACGGCGGCCGUAACUAUAACGGUCCUAAGGUAGCGAAAUUCCUUGUCGGGUAAGUUCCGACCUGCACGAAUGGCGUAAUGAUGGCCAGGCUGUCUCCACCCGAGACUCAGUGAAAUUGAACUCGCUGUGAAGAUGCAGUGUACCCGCGGCAAGACGGAAAGACCCCGUGAACCUUUACUAUAGCUUGACACUGAACAUUGAGCCUUGAUGUGUAGGAUAGGUGGGAGGCUUAGAAGUGUGGACGCCAGUCUGCAUGGAGCCGACCUUGAAAUACCACCCUUUAAUGUUUGAUGUUCUAACGUUGACCCGUAAUCCGGGUUGCGGACAGUGUCUGGUGGGUAGUUUGACUGGGGCGGUCUCCUCCUAAAGAGUAACGGAGGAGCACGAAGGUUGGCUAAUCCUGGUCGGACAUCAGGAGGUUAGUGCAAUGGCAUAAGCCAGCUUGACUGCGAGCGUGACGGCGCGAGCAGGUGCGAAAGCAGGUCAUAGUGAUCCGGUGGUUCUGAAUGGAAGGGCCAUCGCUCAACGGAUAAAAGGUACUCCGGGGAUAACAGGCUGAUACCGCCCAAGAGUUCAUAUCGACGGCGGUGUUUGGCACCUCGAUGUCGGCUCAUCACAUCCUGGGGCUGAAGUAGGUCCCAAGGGUAUGGCUGUUCGCCAUUUAAAGUGGUACGCGAGCUGGGUUUAGAACGUCGUGAGACAGUUCGGUCCCUAUCUGCCGUGGGCGCUGGAGAACUGAGGGGGGCUGCUCCUAGUACGAGAGGACCGGAGUGGACGCAUCACUGGUGUUCGGGUUGUCAUGCCAAUGGCACUGCCCGGUAGCUAAAUGCGGAAGAGAUAAGUGCUGAAAGCAUCUAAGCACGAAACUUGCCCCGAGAUGAGUUCUCCCUGACCCUUUAAGAGUCCUGAAGGAACGUUGAAGACGACGACGUUGAUAGGCCGGGUGUGUAAGCGCAGCGAUGCGUUGAGCUAACCGGUACUAAUGAACCGUGAGGCUUAACCUU
Molecule: ribosomal RNA, 1800 nt
Filed under: Escherichia coli 2-052-05_S3_C2
Lineage: Bacteria; Pseudomonadati; Pseudomonadota; Gammaproteobacteria; Enterobacterales; Enterobacteriaceae
Description: bacterial LSU rRNA
Rfam family: Bacterial large subunit ribosomal RNA
Source: RNAcentral